GACGAACGCUGGCGGCGUGCCUAACACAUGCAAGUCGAACGGAGUUGAUCUUUCGGGAUUAACUUAGUGGCGAACGGGUGAGUAACGCGUGAGAAACCUGCCUUUCAGUGGGGGACAACAGUUGGAAACGACUGCUAAUACCGCAUAAUGUUUCGAGAGGGCAUCCUUUUGAAACCAAAGCUUUAUGUGCUGAAAGAUGGUCUCGCGUCUGAUUAGCUAGUUGGUGAGGUAACGGCUCACCAAGGCGACGAUCAGUAGCCGGUCUGAGAGGAUGAACGGCCACAUUGGGACUGAGAUACGGCCCAG
RNAcentral lists this ribosomal RNA (306 nucleotides) under uncultured bacterium. RNAcentral's name for it is "bacterial SSU rRNA". It matches the Rfam family "Bacterial small subunit ribosomal RNA", at positions 28 to 334 of the family's 1533-position model. The record is from RNAcentral.